This 254-nucleotide ribosomal RNA is filed under the name uncultured bacterium. Its description in RNAcentral is "partial 16S ribosomal RNA". It matches the Rfam family "Bacterial small subunit ribosomal RNA", at positions 524 to 776 of the family's 1533-position model. The record is from RNAcentral.
UACGAAGGGGGCUAGCGUUGUUCGGAGUUACUGGGCGUAAAGGGCGCGUAGGCGGCGCAUCAAGUCAGGCGUGAAAGCCCUGGGCUCAACCCGGGAAUUGCGCUUGAGACUGGUGUGCUUGAGUACGGGAGAGGAUAGUGGAAUUCCCAGUGUAGAGGUGAAAUUCGUAGAUAUUGGGAAGAACACCGGUGGCGAAGGCGGCUAUCUGGACCGUAACUGACGGCUGAGGCGCGAAAGCGUGGGGAGCAAACAGG